This 74-nucleotide transfer RNA is filed under the name Streptomycetaceae bacterium. Its description in RNAcentral is "tRNA-Thr". It matches the Rfam family "tRNA". Rfam says of the family: Transfer RNA (tRNA) molecules are approximately 80 nucleotides in length. Their secondary structure includes four short double-helical elements and three loops (D, anti-codon, and T loops). The record is from RNAcentral. Lineage: Bacteria; Bacillati; Actinomycetota; Actinomycetes; Kitasatosporales; Streptomycetaceae. RNAcentral also lists the same sequence under 1 other name.
GCCCCCUUAGCUCAGCUGGCCAGAGCACCGCUCUUGUAAAGCGGGGGUCGUCGGUUCGAACCCGACAGGGGGCU